CUAAGAAUAUUCCGCAAUGGACGAAAGUCUGACGGAGCGACGCCGCGUGGAUGAUGAAGGCCGGAAGGUUGUAAAAUCCUUUUAAGUAUGAGGAAUAAGCAGUGUGAGAGAAACGCAUUGUGGUGACUGUAGUACUUGAAUAAGCAACGGCUAAUUACGUGCCAGCAGCCGCGGUAACACGUAAGUUGCGAGCGUUGUUCGGAAUUAUUGGGCGUAAAGGGCAUGUAGGCGGUAUUGCAAGCCUGGUGUGAAAGGCAGGGGCUCAACCUCUGGACUGCGCUGGGAACUGCGAUACUAGAGUCGCUGAGGGGCAAUCA
RNAcentral lists this ribosomal RNA (317 nucleotides) under uncultured Treponema sp. RNAcentral describes it as "bacterial SSU rRNA". It matches the Rfam family "Bacterial small subunit ribosomal RNA", at positions 355 to 663 of the family's 1533-position model. Lineage: Bacteria; Pseudomonadati; Spirochaetota; Spirochaetia; Treponematales; Treponemataceae. The record is from RNAcentral.